AGUGAACGCUGGCGGUAGGCCUAACACAUGCAAGUCGAACGGCAGCACAGUAAGAGCUUGCUCUUACGGUUGGCGAGUGGCGGACGGGUGAGGAAUACAUCGGAAUCUACUUUUUCGUGGGGGAUAACGUAGGGAAACUUACGCUAAUACCGCAUACGACCUACGGGUGAAAGCAGGGGAUCUUCGGACCUUUCGCGAUUGAAUGAGCCGAUGUCGGAUUAGCUAGUUGGCGGGGUAAAGGCCCACCAAGGCGACGAUCCGUAGCUGGUCUGAGAGGAUGAUCAGCCACACUGGAACUGAGACACGGUCCAGACUCCUACGGGAGGCAGCAGUGGGGAAUAUUGGACAAUGGGCGCAAGCCUGAUCCAGCCGUACCGCGUGGGUGAAGAAGGCCUUCGGGUUGUAAAGCCCUUUUGUUGGGAAAGAAAAGCAGCAGGUUAAUACCCCGCUGUUCUGACGGUACCCAAAGAAUAAGCACCGGCUAACUUCGUG
Molecule: ribosomal RNA, 492 nt
Filed under: uncultured bacterium
Lineage: Bacteria
Description: partial 16S ribosomal RNA
Rfam family: Bacterial small subunit ribosomal RNA
Source: RNAcentral